GACGAACGCUGGCGGCGUGCCUAAUACAUGCAAGUCGAACGCUGAAGAGAGGAGCUUGCUCUUCUUGGAUGAGUUGCGAACGGGUGAGUAACGCGUAGGUAACCUGCCUUGUAGCGGGGGAUAACUAUUGGAAACGAUAGCUAAUACCGCAUAACAAUAGGUGACACAUGUCAUUUAUUUGAAAGGGGCAAUUGCUCCACUACAAGAUGGACCUGCGUUGUAUUAGCUAGUAGGUGAGGUAACGGCUCACCUAGGCGACGAUACAUAGCCGACCUGAGAGGGUGAUCGGCCACACUGGGACUGAGACACGGCCCAGACUCCUACGGGAGGCAGCAGUAGGGAAUCUUCGGCAAUGGGGGCAACCCUGACCGAGCAACGCCGCGUGAGUGAAGAAGGGUUUCGGAUCGUAAAGCUCUGUUGUAAGUCAAGAACGAGUGUGAGAGUGGAAAGUUCACACUGUGACGGUAGCUUACCAGAAAGGGACGGCUAACUACGUG
RNAcentral lists this ribosomal RNA (497 nucleotides) under uncultured bacterium. RNAcentral describes it as "partial 16S ribosomal RNA". It matches the Rfam family "Bacterial small subunit ribosomal RNA", at positions 28 to 507 of the family's 1533-position model. The record is from RNAcentral.